AGCAGUCGCCGCGGUAAUGCGAAGGGUGCAAGCGUUACUCGGAAUUACUGGGCGUAAAGCGUGCGUAGGUGGUGGUUUAAGUCCGUUGUGAAAGCCCUGGGCUCAACCUGGGAAUUGCAGUGGAUACUGGGUCACUAGAGUGUGGUAGAGGAUAGUGGAAUUUCCGGUGUAGCAGUGAAAUGCGUAGAGAUCGGGAGGAACGUCAGUGGCGAAGGCGGCCAUCUGGGACAACACUGACGCUGAGGCACGAAAGCGUGGGGAGCAAACAGGAUUAGAUACCCGUGUAGUCCCUGUCUCUUAUAC
Molecule: ribosomal RNA, 303 nt
Filed under: uncultured bacterium
Lineage: Bacteria
Description: partial 16S ribosomal RNA
Rfam family: Bacterial small subunit ribosomal RNA
Source: RNAcentral